AUGAGAAUCAAAACUACCUUCUUUAACAGAACGAGGUGUAUUGUCGGUAAUGGCAGCAACACUAGAUUCUGGGAGGAUACGUGGCUUGGUGACACGCCUUUGGCGACCCAGUAUCCGUCUCUUUAUCGUAUUGUUCAGCGUCGUGAGGCUCUUGUUGCCACGGUUAUGCAGUCCAUUCCACUCAACAUUCAGUUUAGGAGGGUGCUCGUGGGUGAUCGAUGGGAAGCAUGGCUUCACCUAGUCCGUAGACUGAUGGAGGUUCAGUUAACCCCUCAGCCCGAUAAGUUGUGUUGGAAGCUUACUAGAUCUGGGGAGUUC
RNAcentral lists this ribosomal RNA (318 nucleotides) under Triticum aestivum (bread wheat). Its description in RNAcentral is "partial small subunit ribosomal RNA". The record is from RNAcentral. Lineage: Eukaryota; Viridiplantae; Streptophyta; Magnoliopsida; Poales; Poaceae.